AUAAAGCUAGGUUACCAAAGAUA
This 23-nucleotide microRNA is filed under the name Strongylocentrotus purpuratus (purple sea urchin). Its description in RNAcentral is "Spu-Mir-9_3p* (star (passenger))". Lineage: Eukaryota; Metazoa; Echinodermata; Echinoidea; Camarodonta; Strongylocentrotidae. RNAcentral also lists the same sequence under 1 other name. The record is from RNAcentral.